UAGGGAAUCUGCCACAAUGGACGCAAGUCUGAUGGAGCAACGCCGCGUGAGUGAAGAAGGGUUUCGGCUCGUAAAGCUCUGUUGUUAAAGAAGAACGUGGGUAAGAGUAACUGUUUACCCAGUGACGGUAUUUAACCAGAAAGCCACGGCUAACUACGUGCCAG
RNAcentral lists this ribosomal RNA (164 nucleotides) under uncultured bacterium. RNAcentral describes it as "partial 16S rRNA". It matches the Rfam family "Bacterial small subunit ribosomal RNA", at positions 355 to 511 of the family's 1533-position model. The record is from RNAcentral.